Long non-coding RNA from Malurus melanocephalus (red-backed fairy wren), 416 nucleotides. RefSeq lists it as uncharacterized. The record is from RefSeq and is a predicted model, not a curated record. NCBI's taxonomy places the organism in Eukaryota, Metazoa, Chordata, Aves, Passeriformes, Maluridae. The transcript has 3 exons.
CCAUAACUGGGAAUGUCCAGGGAAUUCCCAGAAUUUGGGCUGGGAUCGGGCACCGGCAAUCCCAGAGCUCUUUCCCAGCAUCGGGAAUGCCGAGAUUUGGGGAUUUGGGGAUUUUGGGAUUUUGGACAGCUCCACCCCAUAUUUCCCCAAAUCCACCCGCAGCCUCGCAGGUUCAGUACUUCAUGGUCCAGAACAGUAUCCCACCAGAAUCCCGGGAGCCGGAAACGGGGGUGACGCUGGACCCCUUUUGUGUCCCCAAGCCACAGGAGCAGCCCAGAAGCAUCUACAGCCUGAUGGAGGCGUGACCCGGGGAGCCCCAGGUGACCCCCAAGUGACCCCAGGACCCCGGACGGGAUCGCCAGGACCCCGGGAAGGAGCGGCCACCAAGGGGUCACUCUGUGAUGUCACCGUGUGAU